UGACAAUACAAUUGUAAUGUAUUUUAACAAGAAUACACUGGAGUGUACGUGGUGGGUGUCCUUCAAACUCUCAAAUGUCCAGGAAAGCCAGACCCUUCAAACAGAACAAUCAAGGCUGCAGAGACUGACUGCAUCAUCAUCCUUCUCUCGUCGCUUCCUCUUCUGGUGAAGUCCCAGUGUGGUCCUGGAGUGAGGAAUGUGAAAGAGCUGCCUCGUCUC
RNAcentral lists this long non-coding RNA (219 nucleotides) under Strigops habroptila (Kakapo). RNAcentral's name for it is "lncRNA (ENSSHBG00005001875.1)". Lineage: Eukaryota; Metazoa; Chordata; Aves; Psittaciformes; Psittacidae. The record is from RNAcentral.